CAGUUCUUCCAGGAUACUCUGGAGUCCCCCUAUGGUCAGUGCUGAUGGGGAAGUCUGUGUAAGUUACUUGACCAAUCAGUGGAGAUGCGUCGCUUAAUUUGAUCUACAUGAUACAUAUUUUUGUUACGCUAGUUGUUAAAACUUGGGAUUCAACAUGGAGAUCUCAAUUUUGAAUAUUGGAUGGGUGAUGUAGAACAAAGAGAACAAGAAUAAAUAUAAAAAUAGGAAUGUUUAGGGAUUUGAUUGUGUAUUCCUAAUUAGAUUGGGAUUCUUAAUUCCUAACUAGUUUGGGAUUUCCAAUCCUAUUAUUUAUAGAGAU
This 319-nucleotide unclassified non-coding RNA is filed under the name Hevea brasiliensis (rubber tree). Lineage: Eukaryota; Viridiplantae; Streptophyta; Magnoliopsida; Malpighiales; Euphorbiaceae. The record is from RNAcentral.